CAGUCGCCGCGGGAAUACGGAGGGGGCUAGCGUUGUUCGGAAUUACUGGGCGUAAAGCGCACGUAGGCGGCUUUGUAAGUCAGAGGUGAAAGCCCGGGGCUCAACCCCGGAAUUGCCUUUGAGACUGCAUCGCUUGAAUCCAGGAGAGGUGAGUGGAAUUCCGAGUGUAGAGGUGAAAUUCGUAGAUAUUCGCAGGAACACCAGUGGCGAAGGCGGCUAACUGGUCCAUUACUGACGCUGAGGCUCGAAAGCGUGGGGAGCAAACAGGAUUAGAUACCCGGGUAGUCCCUGUCUCUUAUAC
RNAcentral lists this ribosomal RNA (301 nucleotides) under uncultured bacterium. Its description in RNAcentral is "partial 16S ribosomal RNA". It matches the Rfam family "Bacterial small subunit ribosomal RNA", at positions 509 to 807 of the family's 1533-position model. The record is from RNAcentral.